RNAcentral lists this ribosomal RNA (229 nucleotides) under uncultured bacterium. RNAcentral's name for it is "partial 16S ribosomal RNA". It matches the Rfam family "Bacterial small subunit ribosomal RNA", at positions 104 to 334 of the family's 1533-position model. The record is from RNAcentral.
CGGGGUGAGUAAUGCUUGGGAAUCUAGCUUAUGGAGGGGGAUAACUACGGGAAACUGUAGCUAAUACCGCGUAGAAUCGGGAGAUGAAAGUGUGGGACCUUCGGGCCACAUGCCAUAGGAUGAGCCCAAGUGGGAUUAGGUAGUUGGUGAGGUAAAGGCUCACCAAGCCGACGAUCUCUAGCUGGUCUGAGAGGAUGACCAGCCACACUGGGGCUGAGACACGGCCCAG